GGGCCCGCACAAGCGGUGGAGCAUGUGGUUUAAUUCGAUGCAACGCGAAGAACCUUACCAGGUCUUGACAUCCUACGGAUCCGAUUGAAAGAUUGGAGUGCCUUCGGGAGCGUAGAGACAGGUGGUGCAUGGUUGUCGUCAGCUCGUGUCGUGAGAUGUUGGGUUAAGUCCCGCAACGAGCGCAACCCUUGCUAUUAGUUGCUAACAAUUAGGAUGAGCACUCUAAUGGGACUGCCGGUGACAAGCCGGAGGAAGGUGGGGAUGACGUCAAAUCAUCAUGCCCUUUAUGAUCUGGGCUACACACGUGCUACAAUGGGUGGUACAGAGAGCAGCAAGACCGUGAGGUGGAGCGAAUCUCAAAAAGCCAUUCUCAGUUCGGAUUGGAGUCUGCAACCCGACUCCAUGAAGUCGGAAUCGCUAGUAAUCGCGAAUCAGCAUGUCGCGGUGAAUGCGUUCCCGGGCCUU
Molecule: ribosomal RNA, 465 nt
Filed under: uncultured bacterium
Lineage: Bacteria
Description: bacterial SSU rRNA
Rfam family: Bacterial small subunit ribosomal RNA
Source: RNAcentral